UCCGCCUCCUCAUCUUCCUCCUCCAUCUUUCUCCGCAGCCGAACUCUCUUGUGGUGAUUCCUUAGAUUUCAUGAUGGCAUAGACGAUAGCAAGAUCGUGGACAUGCUUUCCACAGGCUUUCUUGAACUGUGAACUCUCCGUGGUCCUUUUUCGCUUCCUUGAUCCUUUCUUCCCGAGGAAGAACUCCAAGGAAGAAGAAGAGGAGGAGUAGGAGGAGGAGGAGGGGAUGGUGACCGCCGUUGAUAGUUCAAGAAAGCCCGUGGAAACCGUGACAGAUCUUUCCGAGUCUUGGUUGUAGGUUUUGUAUGAUUUCUUCCGCUCGCUGAAUUAGUGUGUUCUGUGUUGAUUGGGUGGGAAUCGUACUGGAACAACUGAUUACAUGUUUCACAUAUCCCAAUUGUGCGAUUGCCUGUUAUGAAUCGAUUGAAUUCUGAUUUAAGUAGUUCUUUUCCUCAUCUGGAAGAUGCUUUCUUUUGAGAUCUUGCCUUCUUUGAUAAGCAACUGGUCUUGUUUUUGUUGCAGAAUUGGAGAAUACGGAGCUAAAAGCCCCAGAAGCAUUGUAGGAUUCAGCAAGGCUGAGAUGAUGUGUGCACUAAAAGGUUGCCAGAAGUCAAACCAAGCCUCAUGCUGCUCCACUCCAACUAUUGACAUGUUCCAUGAAACAAGAAAUUAAAUCCAGGCAAUGGCAGUGUCUUUGAUGGCUUUGAAGAAGAAUAGCCGGAACACAAGGCAGAUGGAUCAAUUUAUUGUGGACUCAAUGCUUAUGGUGCAAAAUGCUAGUUUUUAUUUUGAGACAAAGGACCAGCGACCAUUCCAGCUCAGAGAUGAAAAGGCAGGACAGUAAGGAGUGCCAUCUCAGUUGUGGGAGGACUUGGUGGGGAUACUGUGGCACCAAGAGACAAGAUACAGCAAGACGGCACAAUUUCAUAGCUGAAAACCUCAACAUACAUAUACCAUUAUCUGUUCGUCUUUCGUGACAAAAACUUGGCUUCUAACUCGAACAAAGAUCCAUUGCUCACUAACAGCAGGUUUACAUUUUUGGCUCCAGGAGGAGGAAGAAGAGAGAUUAAUUAUUUUGGAUCAAUGACAUAUGAUAAAAUUAAUGGAUUGUGGAUUCGAUUCGAGAACGCCAUGUAUAGCGGAAUCUCGUGAACGGGGAUUGUAAUUAAAUCCACGGGAUGGCAGUGUCUUUGAUGGCUUUGAAGAAGAAUAGACAGAACACAAGGCAGAUGGAUCAAUUUAUUGUGGACUCAAUGCUUAUGGUGCAAAGUGCAAGUUUUUUGUUUUUGUGAGACAGAGGACCAGCGACCAUUCCAGCUCAGAGAUGAAAAUGCAGGACAGUAAGGAGUGCCAUCUCAAUCGUGGGAGGACAUGGUGGGGAUACUGUGGCACCAAGAGACAAGAUACAGCAAGAUGGCACAUUUCCAUAGCUGAAAACCUGAACAUACAUAUACAUGCAUUAUCUGUUCGUCUUUCCUGACUCAUACUUAGCUUCUAACUCGAACAAAGAUCCAUUGCUCACUAACAGCAGGUUUACAUUUUGGCUCCAGGAGGAGGACGAAGAGAGAUUAAUUGUUUUGGAUCAAUGACAUAUGAUCAAAUUAAUGGAUUCGAUUCGAGAAUCCCAUAUAUAUAGCGGAAUCUCGUGAACGGGGAUUGUAAUGGUGAUCCGAUGGUCCAAAGCCGGGACGAAUCGGUAAAAAGAUCCACCCUACUUGCGCCGGGUCGAUGGGCGAAUCGCUCGAAUAACGGCAUCCGCGUCUUGAUUUCCUUUCUCUUCCCUCGUUUGGUCAUCCCACUUGACAUCGGCCUCAACCUCACCUGAGAAGAUCGUGGCCGAGGAUAUAUGGAUUGGAGGAUCGGGCAUGGAAUAAGGUGCAAAGUUAGGGUUUGUACUCGUGUCUCACUGAUGACGCAAAUAUAUCGAUAAUUCUGGCUGGUUUAUUGCCCUUCCUAAAUCUUAUCCAAGGAACGUAGUAGAUCUUAAUAUUUCACUUUCUUUUAGUUGGCGAAAUCAGUUUUCCGGCUUCAAUGAUGGUAUUUCUUAUGCUCUUUCCUCCUUCCAAGUCUUCUUUUCAUUCAAAUAUUACAUGGCAAGCAUGUUUGAUGUUUAUACAACAACACUUUGCCUAAACUAAAAUACCUCUUUUAAGAGAUUUUCCGAAUCUUAAUGCGUUGACAAGAAUAAUUCAGGAUGCACAUGUUGUGACCUCAUUGAUAGCUGUGACCACCAUACCUGCAAGUGUUGAUACCCAGGGACACAUUAUUAUUAUUAUUAUUUCAAAUCAGGUCGACUGACUCUUGAAGUGUGCCCUGUCUACAGGUGAUUAUUCUGUAAAAGCUCGAUAACUAUUCUUGCAGUAUGAAGUGUAGAAUUUAAGUAGUCGGGAUCGAGUUGCUCUCUCGCAUAGCUGGUGGCGUGGGGCUUCAUCGGGCUUUUGAGAGGUGACAUCGACCUUGACAGUCGAUACUACCUUCCGUGCAUGACUCCUUGCUGCAUGUACAUUCACUUUGCAAGAUCACCCUUAAUUUCAUGUUGUAGAAUCUAAAAGAAACAUAUAAACAGAUUGAAAUUCUGAGAUCUCA
Molecule: long non-coding RNA, 2586 nt
Organism: Musa acuminata AAA Group (dessert banana)
Lineage: Eukaryota; Viridiplantae; Streptophyta; Magnoliopsida; Zingiberales; Musaceae
Exons: 4
Source: RefSeq, a predicted model, not a curated record